RNAcentral lists this ribosomal RNA (468 nucleotides) under uncultured bacterium. RNAcentral's name for it is "partial 16S ribosomal RNA". It matches the Rfam family "Bacterial small subunit ribosomal RNA", at positions 28 to 507 of the family's 1533-position model. The record is from RNAcentral.
GACGAACGCUGGCGGCGUGCUUAACACAUGCAAGUCGAACGGAAAGGCCCUGCUUUUUUGGGGUGCUCGAGUGGCGAACGGGUGAGUAACACGUGAGUAACCUGCCCUUGACUUUGGGAUAACUUCAGGAAACUGGGGCUAAUACCGGAUAGGAGCUCCUGCUGCAUGGUGGGGGGUGGAAAGUUUCGGCGGUUGGGGAUGGACUCGCGGCUUAUGAGCUUGUUGGUGGGGUAGUGGCUUACCCAGGCUUUGACUGGUAGCCGGCCUGAGAGGGUGACCGGCGACCUUGGGCCUGAGAUACGGCCCAGACUCCUACGGGAGGCAGCAGUGGGGAAUAUUGCACAAUGGGCGGAAGCCUGAUGCAGCAACGCCGCGUGCGGGAUGACGGCCUUCGGGUUGUAAACCGCUUUCGCCUGUGACGAAGCGUGAGUGACGGUAAUGGGUAAAGAAGCACCGGCUAACUACGUG